RNAcentral lists this ribosomal RNA (256 nucleotides) under uncultured bacterium. RNAcentral's name for it is "partial 16S ribosomal RNA". It matches the Rfam family "Bacterial small subunit ribosomal RNA", at positions 524 to 779 of the family's 1533-position model. The record is from RNAcentral.
UACGGAGGGUGCGAGCGUUGUCCGGAAUCACUGGGCGUAAAGGGCGCGUAGGCGGCUCAUGAAGGCUGUGGUGAAAGUCCGGGGCUCAACCUCGGAUCGGCCGUGGCGACUCGUGGGCUGGAGCACUGUAGAGGCGAGUGGAAUUCCGGGUGUAGCGGUGGAAUGCGUAGAGAUCCGGAAGAACACCAGUGGCGAAGGCGAGUCCCUGGACAACUCCUGACACUGAGGCACGAAAGCUAGGGGAGCAAACAGGAGU